CCCUUAGAUGUUCUGGGCGGCCCGCGCACUACAAUGGCGUGUGCAGCGAGUGCCGAAGUAGAGUUUUCCGAGGUAUUCUUGCAAUGCUCGUUUUGAUGGGGAUAGACCCUUGCAACUGUUGGUUUUGAACGAGGAAUUCUUUGUAAGCAUGGUUUAUCAUCCGACGCUGAAUGCGUCCCUGCCCUUUGUACACACCGCCCGUCGCUCCUACCGAUGAGUCGUCCGGUGAAGUUCGUAGACCUCGUGAUCGCGGAUCACUGGGGGAAGCAAAAUGAACCUCGCGGUUUAGAGGAAGGAGAAGUCGUAACA
This 309-nucleotide ribosomal RNA is filed under the name uncultured eukaryote. RNAcentral describes it as "partial 18S ribosomal RNA". It matches the Rfam family "Eukaryotic small subunit ribosomal RNA", at positions 1470 to 1796 of the family's 1831-position model. The record is from RNAcentral.